AGAGGAUGUAGCUACAAGAUGGGUAG
This 26-nucleotide non-coding RNA is filed under the name Bombyx mori (domestic silkworm). Lineage: Eukaryota; Metazoa; Arthropoda; Insecta; Lepidoptera; Bombycidae. The record is from RNAcentral.